UCGUUAGUUGAAUUUUCUGGUCGUGGCGACCGGUCCGCCCCUCACGGGGCGUGCACCUGGUCUCUGCGUCCAUCCUCGGGGAGAGCGCGUCUGGCAUUCAGUUGUCGGGCGCGGGAUCCUCGUCAUUUACUGUGAGCAAAAUAGAGUGUUCAAAGCAGGCUUAGGUCGUUGAAUACAUUAGCAUGGAAUAAUAAGAUAGGACCUUGGUCUAUUUUGUUGGUUUGCACUCCAAGGUAAUGAUUAAUAGGGAUAGUUGGGGGUAUUCGUAUUCAAUUGUCAGAUGUGAAAUUCUUGGAUUUAUGGAAGACGAACUACUGCGAAAGCAUUUUACCAAGGAUGUUUUCAUUAAUCAAGAACGAAAGUUAUGGGAUCUAAUAUGAUUAUAUACCAUUGUAUUCUUAACCAUAAACUAUGC
Molecule: ribosomal RNA, 415 nt
Filed under: uncultured eukaryote
Lineage: Eukaryota
Description: SSU rRNA
Rfam family: Eukaryotic small subunit ribosomal RNA
Source: RNAcentral